ACAUAUAAAGCAAAUUUUGCUAUUAGUUUCGACCUAAUCGAUAGAUUAUAUAUUUAAUCUAUAUGUA
Molecule: transfer RNA, 67 nt
Filed under: Trichopygomyia trichopyga
Lineage: Eukaryota; Metazoa; Arthropoda; Insecta; Diptera; Psychodidae
Description: tRNA-Arg
Source: RNAcentral